Molecule: ribosomal RNA, 467 nt
Filed under: uncultured bacterium
Lineage: Bacteria
Description: partial 16S ribosomal RNA
Rfam family: Bacterial small subunit ribosomal RNA
Source: RNAcentral
GAUGAAUGCUGGCGGCGUGCCUAACACAUGCAAGUCGAGCGGUGACAGGUGUAGUUUACUACUUGCUGACGAGCGGCGGACGGCUGCGUAACGCGUGGGAACGUGCCCCAAAGUGCGGGAUAACUGCCCGGAAGGGUGGCUAAUACCGCAUAUGUUCUUCGGAUUAAAGGAUUUAUCCGCUUUGGGAGCGGCCCGCGUUAGAUUAGGUAGUUGGUAGGGUAAUGGCCUACCAAGCCUACGAUCUAUAGCUGGUCUGAGAGGAUGACCAGCCAGACUGGAACUGAGACACGGUCCAGACUCCUACGGGAGGCAGCAGUGAGGAAUCUUGCACAAUGGGCGAAAGCCUGAUGGAGCAACGCCGCGUGAAGGAUGAAGGCUCUCGGGUUGUAAACUUCUUUUAUAAGUGAAGAAUAUGACGGUAACUUAUGAAUAAGCACCGGCUAACUACGUGCCAGCCGCCGCCGUAA